This 1006-nucleotide long non-coding RNA is filed under the name Brachypodium distachyon (stiff brome). RNAcentral describes it as "long non-coding RNA (BDIS_LNC001730)". Lineage: Eukaryota; Viridiplantae; Streptophyta; Magnoliopsida; Poales; Poaceae. The record is from RNAcentral.
CUGAAGUCCCGAUUUCCCCACAGCGACCAAACCUCUCGUAGUAGACGCCGAGAUCAAUCGCCUCAUGGCGGCCGGCCACCACAGCCAGAGAUGACAGAAUCUGAUUGGAUGGAGAUUGAGAGAACCUGCUUGCCCUCCCCUCUCCCGAGUUCAGGAUGCAACAUGGAGUAAAAACUCUGCGCCCCCUGAUCUCCCGAGACUAAUCGCCUUUGCCCUUCUCAGUUUCCCAAAACUCUGCGCCACCUGCAGAUCGUGAGUUCACUUGGACACAUGGGAGUUUUAGAUAACACAACAAAAAUGAAUUCAGUCUUAGCAUACAUCGUACAUGUGUGCUUGUUGUCUAAUAUUUUAAAAUCAUGUGACUGUGCAGGUAGAGGAUCAGCUGGUAGCUUGCAGCCUCAGAUGAAAGAGGGAGAAUUUAGUACGCCCAUGCAUAAAGAAACUAAGCAUUCCUCUAUUUGUAAGUUUAAUAGUCCUUCACUGCCAUUGUGAUAUUCAUUUUAACAGAAUUAUGCAUAAAUGUGUUUACCAUGAUUGAUUAUUUAUGUUUCAAUGUUCGUCUUUUACACUCAAUUGAAGGGCUGGAGGCUGUGGAGGAGUUCAACAAGUCUUAUGAUGGCUGAAGAUCAUGUGGGUUUUGGAGUAUGUAUCAGACAACAGAAGAAGUUGGGCAAUGCGGUAGUUCGUACAAAGCGCUUCAUGUGCAAUAGGGAAGGAUUCAAAGCCGAAACAGGUGAAGAGACUGAAGACCCUUAAAGAGAAGGCAUAAGAAUACAACCACAGAGACAUGCAGCAGAAUGGUGUUUUAUGACUUCAUACACCUAUGAUUUAUUAGUACCAUUUCAGUUUCAGGGAUUAAUACCAGAAAAAUUUAUGUACUGACUUUUUGUAAUAAGUGAGAACUUGUGAUUUUGUCAAAUUGAUUUCAUAUUUUUGUCUGUUAGUUGACGCAUAUGGAAUGGAAAGAAACAGACCAUGAUGCUUCUUCAUGGUCAGAAAUAUAGCA